CCUACGGGAGGCAGCAGUGAGGAAUAUUGGUCAAUGGCCGAGAGGCUGAACCAGCCAAGUCGCGUGAGGGAAGACGGCCCUACGGGUUGUAAACCUCUUUUGUCGGGGAGCAAAGCGAACCACGUGUGGUUCAUUGAGAGUACCCGAAGAAAAAGGAUCGGCUAACUCCGUGCCAGCAGCCGUGGUAAUACGGAGGAUGCGAGCGUUAUCCGGAUUUAUUGGGGUUAAGGGGUGCGCAGGCGGAGGUGCAAGUCAGCGGUAAAAUUGCGGGGCUCAACCCCGUACUGCCGUUGAAACUGCAUCCCUUGAGUGCGCGAGAAGUAUGCGGAAUGCGUGGUGUAGCGGUGAAAUGCAUAGAUAUCACGCAGAACUCCGAUGGCGAAGGCAGCAUACCGGCGCGCAACUGACGCUCAUGCACGAAAGCGUGGGUAUCGAACAGGAUUAGAUACCCUUGUAGUC
RNAcentral lists this ribosomal RNA (459 nucleotides) under uncultured bacterium. Its description in RNAcentral is "partial 16S ribosomal RNA". It matches the Rfam family "Bacterial small subunit ribosomal RNA", at positions 338 to 795 of the family's 1533-position model. The record is from RNAcentral.